RNAcentral lists this ribosomal RNA (389 nucleotides) under Oryzias minutillus (dwarf medaka). RNAcentral describes it as "partial 12S ribosomal RNA". It matches the Rfam family "Bacterial small subunit ribosomal RNA", at positions 794 to 1384 of the family's 1533-position model. The record is from RNAcentral. Lineage: Eukaryota; Metazoa; Chordata; Actinopteri; Beloniformes; Adrianichthyidae.
GCUUAGCUGUAAACAUUGAGUGAUUUUUUACCUUAUCAUUCCGCCUGGGUACUACGAGCACUAGCUUAAAACCCAAAGGACUUGGCGGUGCUUUAUACCCACCUAAAGGAGCCUGUUCUAGAACCGAUACCCCACGUUUAACCUCACCCUCUCUGGUUCUUCCCGCCUAUAUACCGCCGUCGUCAGCUUACCCUGUGAAGGUAAAGCAGUUAGCAUAAUCAGUUCUACUAAAAACGUCAGGUCGAGGUGUAGCAUAUGAGAGGGGAAGAAAUGGGCUACAUUCCUUACACUAAGGCAACACGGACAAUAUUAUGAAAUAAAUAUUAGAAGGAGGAUUUAGCAGUAAGCAGCAAAUAGAGAGUCCUGCUGAAACUGGCCCUAAAGCGCGC